This 329-nucleotide ribosomal RNA is filed under the name uncultured eukaryote. RNAcentral describes it as "partial 18S ribosomal RNA". It matches the Rfam family "Eukaryotic small subunit ribosomal RNA", at positions 1470 to 1796 of the family's 1831-position model. The record is from RNAcentral.
CCCUUAGAUGUUCUGGGCCGCACGCGCGCUACACUGACGGAGGCAGCAAGCGUGUCCUUCGCCGGUAGGUGCGGGCAAUCUUGCGAGUCUCCGUCGUGCUGGGGAUAGAUGGUUGCAAUUGUCGAUCUUGAACGAGGAAUUCCUAGUAAGCGCGAGUCAUCAGCUCGCGCUGAUUACGUCCCUGCCCUUUGUACACACCGCCCGUCGCUACUACAGAGUGCCCGUGUCCAAGAAACGGUCGGACCUGUGCGGCCUCUCCGGGCGACCGGAGGGCCGUUACGGGGAAGACCCUUUAUUUGACGCGGGUCGAUGAAGUAAAAGUCGUAACA